This 210-nucleotide ribosomal RNA is filed under the name Escherichia coli. Its description in RNAcentral is "partial 23S ribosomal RNA". It matches the Rfam family "Bacterial large subunit ribosomal RNA", at positions 1 to 202 of the family's 2925-position model. The record is from RNAcentral. Lineage: Bacteria; Pseudomonadati; Pseudomonadota; Gammaproteobacteria; Enterobacterales; Enterobacteriaceae.
GGGUUGUGAGGUUAAGCGACUAAGCGUACACGGUGGAUGCCCUGGCAGUCAGAGGCGAUGAAGGACGUGCUAAUCUGCGAUAAGCGUCGGUAAGGUGAUAUGAACCGUUAUAACCGGCGAUUUCCGAAUGGGGAAACCCAGUGUGAUUCGUCACACUAUCAUUAACUGAAUCCAUAGGUUAAUGAGGCGAACCGGGGGAACUGAAACAUC